Molecule: small nucleolar RNA, 107 nt
Filed under: Gossypium arboreum
Lineage: Eukaryota; Viridiplantae; Streptophyta; Magnoliopsida; Malvales; Malvaceae
Description: Plant small nucleolar RNA R71
Rfam family: Plant small nucleolar RNA R71
About the family: R71 is a member of the C/D box family of snoRNAs containing the C (UGAUGA) and D (CUGA) box motifs.
Source: Rfam by way of RNAcentral
AACCCAUGGUAAUGACAUCUUCUCAAUAAGUCCUUGUAUCUCUCCCAUGCAUCAUAAAGUGUUUCUAAAUCCAUCUGCACAAAAGAAGAGAUAUCAUUCCUUAAUUU